This 502-nucleotide ribosomal RNA is filed under the name uncultured bacterium. RNAcentral's name for it is "partial 16S ribosomal RNA". It matches the Rfam family "Bacterial small subunit ribosomal RNA", at positions 28 to 523 of the family's 1533-position model. The record is from RNAcentral.
GACGAACGCUGGCGGCGUGCCUAAUACAUGCAAGUCGAGCGAAGUAUGAGGAGCUUGCUUCUUAUACUUAGCGGCGAACGGGUGAGUAACACGUGGGCAACCUGCCCGAUAGACUGGGAUAACUUGGGGAAACUCAAGCUAAUACCGGAUAGGAUCAUUGACUGCCUGGUUGAUGAUGGAAAGUCUGAACGACACUAUCGGGUGGGCCUGCGGCGCAUUAGCUAGUUGGUGGGGUAAGGGCCUACCAAGGCGACGAUGCGUAGCCGACCUGAGAGGGUGAUCGGCCACACUGGGACUGAGACACGGCCCAGACUCCUACGGGAGGCAGCAGUAGGGAAUCUUCCACAAUGGGCGAAAGCCUGAUGGAGCAACGCCGCGUGAGUGAUGAAGGUUUUCGGAUCGUAGAACUCUGUUGUUAGGGAAGAACACCCGAGAGAGGAUCUCGGAAUGACGGUACCUGACGAGAAAGCCCCGGCUAACUACGUGCCAGCCGCCGCAGUAA